CCUACGGGUGGCUGCAGUGGGGAAUCUUGCGCAAUGGGCGAAAGCCUGACGCAGCGACGCCGCGUGAGUGAUGAAGGCCUUCGGGUUGUAAAGCUCUGUGGGGAGAGAAGAAUAAGUCGUAGUGAAUAUCUACGAUGAUGACGGUAUCUCCUUAGCAAGCACCGGCUAACUCUGUGCCAGCAGCCGCGGUAAGACAGAGGGUGCAUACGUUGUUCGGAAUUACUGGUAGUAGGGCGGGUAUAUCAGGUGAGAAAUCCCACGGCUCAACCAUGGAAGUGCACUUGAUACUGCUUCGCUUGAGUACUGGAGAGGUUGGUGGAAUUCUUGGUGUAGAGGUGAAAUUCGUAGAUAUCAAGAGGAACACCGGUGGCGAAGGCGGCCAACUGGACAGAUACUGACGCUGAGACACGAAAGCGCGGGGAGCAAACAGGAUUAGAUACCCCUGUAGUC
This 450-nucleotide ribosomal RNA is filed under the name uncultured bacterium. RNAcentral's name for it is "partial 16S ribosomal RNA". It matches the Rfam family "Bacterial small subunit ribosomal RNA", at positions 338 to 795 of the family's 1533-position model. The record is from RNAcentral.